GGUUGUAUUCAUUCGUCUUGAAGACAGCUCCCAGGUCAGCCCUACUCCUUUCACCUCUACAAACUCUUCACCAACCAGCAUCUCUCUCAUCUCACCUUGAGGAAAUGGCCCAAUGAGGAAUGCAAUAGCAAGAGGCAAGCUAAGUACAUUUCAAUUCUUUCUGAGAGGAAGAAAUCUUUCUCAACAAGUCUGAUGGAGCAAUAAAUACUGGACGUCUGUGUGUUGUGCCAUGGGCAGAUCAGAUACAGAAAACUUUCAGCUUAUGAAUGAGAUCCAUGAUGCAGAGAGACAGUUAUCACAAGCAGCAUCACAUGGGUUGCCAGGUCAGAACCACUGUAGACCAAAGCCAAAUCCCACUGGGCCUAGGCAAGUUGAGACCGCCAAGCAGGGCCAGGGACUGCGGUACUGAGGUACUGAGGAGCAUAUUGUUGAAGAACAGAAAGACCUAUAGCCACCAGCCAGAUCAACAAGAAGCAACAUGACUGAAUUUGAACGAUGGAUACUCAGGAGCAUGACUCAAAAGGGUACACUCACAUUCUCUCCCUCCUCAACCCUCCAAUUGUAUCUUCCUCUUACUCACUUCUAGUGAAUUACAUUGCUUCCUAUUUUAUCAAAAUGGCUAAAGCCAUCAUAAAAGUCCUUGUCUACUA
Myotis brandtii (Brandt's bat) is the source of this 650-nucleotide long non-coding RNA. RefSeq lists it as uncharacterized. Lineage: Eukaryota; Metazoa; Chordata; Mammalia; Chiroptera; Vespertilionidae. The record is from RefSeq and is a predicted model, not a curated record. The transcript has 3 exons.